RNAcentral lists this ribosomal RNA (252 nucleotides) under uncultured bacterium. RNAcentral describes it as "partial 16S ribosomal RNA". It matches the Rfam family "Bacterial small subunit ribosomal RNA", at positions 524 to 775 of the family's 1533-position model. The record is from RNAcentral.
UACAGAGACUGCAAGCGUUAUUCGGAUUCACUGGGCGUAAAGGGUGCGCAGGCGGUUGGGUGUGUCAGAUGUGAAAUCCCGAGGCUUAACCUCGGAACUGCGUCUGAAACUACUCGACUAGAGUACUGGAGAGGGAAACGGAAUUCACGGUGUAGCAGUGAAAUGCGUAGAUAUCGUGAGGAACACCAGAGGCGAAGGCGGUUUCCUGGACAGUUACUGACGCUCAGGCACGAAGCAAUGGGGAGCAAAGGG